Molecule: long non-coding RNA, 419 nt
Filed under: Cricetulus griseus (Chinese hamster)
Lineage: Eukaryota; Metazoa; Chordata; Mammalia; Rodentia; Cricetidae
Description: lncRNA (ENSCGRG00015036822.1)
Source: RNAcentral
CACGUAGCCACCAGGGAGGCAGGACUCCAGGGCAUCACCUAGGGUCAGCAACCCCAGCCAAGGACACUCCAGUACCAAGGAUGCUCUGGAACUCUCCAUCACAACACAGCAUGCAGCUUCUGAAUGCCAUCAGCAAAGGCUUGACUUACCUCUUCACACUUGGUUUGUGCAUUUUGUUACCAAGCUGAGCGCCUGGCAGGUGGAUGACCAUUUGAGCUAUCAAGAAAAGAGAACUCUUCUCUCAAAAUAUUUAGGUCCAGAGAUAAAAAGCACUAUAUUUUAAAACGGAAUUCCUCCCUACAGAAACGUUUUAUGAAUUACUCAGUUCAGAUUAAGCCUCUCUGAAAAUAAAUAAAUAAAUAAAUGAAACAAUUACUGUGUCCAUUUUUUAUGGCCUGCUCAGCAUGAUUCAGUAAGAG